UGGUCGAGUCGGCCUGCGCGGAAGAUGUAACGGGGCUAAACCAUGCACCGAAGCUGCGGCAGCGACGCUUAUGCGUUGUUGGGUAGGGGAGCGUUCUGUAAGCCUGUGAAGGUGUGCUGUGAGGUAUGCUGGAGGUAUCAGAAGUGCGAAUGCUGACAUAAGUAACGAUAAAGCGGGUGAAAAGCCCGCUCGCCGGAAGACCAAGGGUUCCUGUCCAACGUUAAUCGGGGCAGGGUGAGUCGACCCCUAAGGCGAGGCCGAAAGGCGUAGUCGAUGGGAAACAGGUUAAUAUUCCUGUACUUGGUGUUACUGCGAAGGGGGGACGGAGAAGGCUAUGUUGGCCGGGCGACGGUUGUCCCGGUUUAAGCGUGUAGGCUGGUUUUCCAGGCAAAUCCGGAAAAUCAAGGCCGAGGCGUGAUGACGAGGCACUACGGUGCUGAAGCAACAAAUGCCCUGCUUCCAGGAAAAGCCUCUAAGCAUCAGGUAACAUCAAAUCGUACCCCAAACCGACACAGGUGGUCAGGUAGAGAAUACCAAGGCGCUUGAGAGAACUCGGGUGAAGGAACUAGGCAAAAUGGUGCCGUAACUUCGGGAGAAGGCACGCUGAUACGUAGGUGAAGCGACUUGCUCGUGGAGCUGAAAUCAGUCGAAGAUACCAGCUGGCUGCAACUGUUUAUUAAAAACACAGCACUGUGCAAACACGAAAGUGGACGUAUACGGUGUGACGCCUGCCCGGUGCCGGAAGGUUAAUUGAUGGGGUUAGCGCAAGCGAAGCUCUUGAUCGAAGCCCCGGUAAACGGCGGCCGUAACUAUAACGGUCCUAAGGUAGCGAAAUUCCUUGUCGGGUAAGUUCCGACCUGCACGAAUGGCGUAAUGAUGGCCAGGCUGUCUCCACCCGAGACUCAGUGAAAUUGAACUCGCUGUGAAGAUGCAGUGUACCCGCGGCAAGACGGAAAGACCCCGUGAACCUUUACUAUAGCUUGACACUGAACAUUGAGCCUUGAUGUGUAGGAUAGGUGGGAGGCUUUGAAGUGUGGACGCCAGUCUGCAUGGAGCCGACCUUGAAAUACCACCCUUUAAUGUUUGAUGUUCUAACGUGGACCCGUGAUCCGGGUUGCGGACAGUGUCUGGUGGGUAGUUUGACUGGGGCGGUCUCCUCCUAAAGAGUAACGGAGGAGCACGAAGGUUGGCUAAUCCUGGUCGGACAUCAGGAGGUUAGUGCAAUGGCAUAAGCCAGCUUGACUGCGAGCGUGACGGCGCGAGCAGGUGCGAAAGCAGGUCAUAGUGAUCCGGUGGUUCUGAAUGGAAGGGCCAUCGCUCAACGGAUAAAAGGUACUCCGGGGAUAACAGGCUGAUACCGCCCAAGAGUUCAUAUCGACGGCGGUGUUUGGCACCUCGAUGUCGGCUCAUCACAUCCUGGGGCUGAAGUAGGUCCCAAGGGUAUGGCUGUUCGCCAUUUAAAGUGGUACGCGAGCUGGGUUUAGAACGUCGUGAGACAGUUCGGUCCCUAUCUGCCGUGGGCGCUGGAGAACUGAGGGGGGCUGCUCCUAGUACGAGAGGACCGGAGUGGACGCAUCACUGGUGUUCGGGUUGUCAUGCCAAUGGCACUGCCCGGUAGCUAAAUGCGGAAGAGAUAAGUGCUGAAAGCAUCUAAGCACGAAACUUGCCCCGAGAUGAGUUCUCCCUGACCCUUUAAGGGUCCUGAAGGAACGUUGAAGACGACGACGUUGAUAGGCCGGGUGUGUAAGCGCAGCGAUGCGUUGAGCUAACCGGUACUAAUGAACCGUGAGGCUUAACCUUACAACGCCGAAG
RNAcentral lists this ribosomal RNA (1812 nucleotides) under Shigella flexneri. Its description in RNAcentral is "partial 23S ribosomal RNA". It matches the Rfam family "Bacterial large subunit ribosomal RNA", at positions 1146 to 2925 of the family's 2925-position model. The record is from RNAcentral. Lineage: Bacteria; Pseudomonadati; Pseudomonadota; Gammaproteobacteria; Enterobacterales; Enterobacteriaceae. RNAcentral also lists the same sequence under 1 other name.